RNAcentral lists this ribosomal RNA (497 nucleotides) under uncultured bacterium. RNAcentral describes it as "partial 16S ribosomal RNA". It matches the Rfam family "Bacterial small subunit ribosomal RNA", at positions 28 to 507 of the family's 1533-position model. The record is from RNAcentral.
GAUGAACGCUGGCGGCGUGCCUAAUACAUGCAAGUCGAGCGAACAGACGAGGAGCUUGCUCCUUUGACGUUAGGCGCGCGCGGGUGUGUAACACGUGGAUAACCUACUUAUAAUACUGGUAUCACUUCGGGAAACCGGAGCUAAUCCCGGAGAAUAUACUGAACCGCAGGGGUCAUUAGUGAAAGACGGUUUUUCUGUCUCUUAUAGCUGGAUCCGGGCCGGAUUAGCUAGUUGGUAGGGUAACGGGUUUUCAAGGGAACGAUGCGUAACCGACGUGUGAGGGUGAUAGGCCGCACUAGAACUGGAACACGCACCAGAGUCCUACGGGAGGCAGCAGUAGGGAAUCUUCCGCAAUGGGCGGAAGCCUUGCGGAGCGGCGCGGCGCCAGAUGUGAAGGUGUCCGGAUCGUAAAACUCUGUUAUUAGGGGAGAACAAAUGUGUAAGUAGCUGUGCACGGCUUGACGGUACCUGGUCAGAAAGCCACGGCUAACUACGUG